GAUGAACGCUGGCGGCGUGCCUAAUACAUGCAAGUCGAGCGAACAGACGAGGAGCUUGCUCCUCUGACGUUAGCGGCGGACGGGUGAGUAACACGUGGAUAACCUACCUAUAAGACUGGGAUAACUUCGGGAAACCGGCGCUAAUACCGGAUAAUAUAUUGAACCGCAUGGUUCAAUAGUGAAAGACGGUUUUGCUGUCACUUAUAGCUGGAUCCGCGCCGCAUUAGCUAGUUGGUAAGGUAACGGCUUUCCACGGCAACGAUGCGUAGCCGACCGGAGAGAGGGAUCGGCGGCACUGGAGCUGAGACACGGUCCAGAGUCCUACGGUAGGCAGCAGAAGGGAAUCUGCCGCAACAGGCGAAAGCCUGACGGAGCAACGCCACGUGAGUGAUGAAGGUCUUCCGAGCGUAAAACUCUGUUAUUAGGGAAGAACAAAUUUGUAAGUUACUGUGCACGUCUUGACGGUACCUAAUCAGAAAGCCACGGCUAACUACGUG
RNAcentral lists this ribosomal RNA (497 nucleotides) under uncultured bacterium. Its description in RNAcentral is "partial 16S ribosomal RNA". It matches the Rfam family "Bacterial small subunit ribosomal RNA", at positions 28 to 507 of the family's 1533-position model. The record is from RNAcentral.